Molecule: transfer RNA, 84 nt
Filed under: Pseudomonadota bacterium
Lineage: Bacteria; Pseudomonadati; Pseudomonadota
Description: Proteobacteria bacterium tRNA-Leu
Rfam family: tRNA
About the family: Transfer RNA (tRNA) molecules are approximately 80 nucleotides in length. Their secondary structure includes four short double-helical elements and three loops (D, anti-codon, and T loops).
Source: RNAcentral
GCCCUGAUGGUGGAAUAGGUAGACACAGGAGACUUAAAAUCUUCUGCUCGUAAGAGCGUGCCGGUUCAAGUCCGGCUCGGGGCA